Long non-coding RNA from Schistocerca serialis cubense, 474 nucleotides. RefSeq lists it as uncharacterized. The transcript is spliced from 4 exons. The record is from RefSeq and is a predicted model, not a curated record. NCBI's taxonomy places the organism in Eukaryota, Metazoa, Arthropoda, Insecta, Orthoptera, Acrididae.
GGGUCGGCGACCACGCGGGCUGCCCGUCCAGCGCGGCCUCGCAGGCAGAGACACAGGGAGGCGCUCGCUGCACGGAGCUGGCGCACUUGCAGUGUGGCUGCAGAAACCCACAUUACCCCGGUGCCCACAUACGAGCGACGUUCAUGGUGUGCAUCACAUGGACACCAGCCGUGGUGAUAUGAAACAAGCCGUGGUGGACCUCGUCAGCUCAGAAAUCGCAACUAGAGUUUUGUGGCCACCAUAGAAGACAACAUGAGGGGUGGACAACUCGGCCUCUUCUGCCUGGUCUGCCUGCUGAUCCUGCUCAUCCUGCUCCUCCGCUUCUCUAAAAGGCUCCGGCAACAACUGGCGGUGGGCUACGUGCCGGCGGUGGUGUGGCCGGCGGGCGUGUGGCUGGUGCGCCGCCCCCCGGCCGCCGCCCACCAGCCGGCGCAGCUGCAGCUGGUGGCCGUCCACCCCCACCUCCGUCCCCAG